GUGCCAGCAGCCGCGGUAAUACAGAGACUGCAAGCGUUAUUCGGAUUCACUGGGCGUAAAGGGUGCGUAGGCGGCCGCAUGUGUCAGGUGUGAAAGCCUGGGGCUUAACCCCAGAAUUGCGCCUGAAACUGUGCGGCUAGAGUGCCGGAGAGGAUAGCGGAAUUCACGGUGUAGCAGUGAAAUGCGUAGAUAUCGUGAAGAACACCAGCGGCGAAGGCGGCUAUCUGGAAGGCAACUGACGCUCAGGCACGAAAGCGUGGGGAGCAAAAGGGAUUAGAAACCCCCGUAGUCC
This 292-nucleotide ribosomal RNA is filed under the name uncultured bacterium. RNAcentral's name for it is "partial 16S ribosomal RNA". It matches the Rfam family "Bacterial small subunit ribosomal RNA", at positions 505 to 796 of the family's 1533-position model. The record is from RNAcentral.